CCUACGGGUGGCAGCAGUGAGGAAUAUUGGUCAAUGGGCGUAAGCCUGAACCAGCCAAGUCGCGUGAGGGAUGAAGGUUCUAUGGAUCGUAAACCUCUUUUAUAAGGGAAUAAAGUGUGGGACGUGUCCUAUUUUGUAUGUACCUUAUGAAUAAGGAUCGGGUAACUCCUUGCCAGCAGCCGCGGUAAUACGGCGGAUUCGAGCGUUAUCCGGGUUUAUUUGGUUUAAAGGGUGCGUAGGCGGCCUUUGAAGUCAGCGGUGAAAGUCUGUGGACCAACCCUAGAAUUGCCGUUGAAACUGGGGGGCUUGAGUAUGUGAGAGGUAGGCGGAAUGCGUGGGGUAGCGGUGAAAUGCUUAGAUAUCACGCAGAACCCCGAUUGCGAAGGCAGCUUACCAAGCCAUAACUGACGCUGAGGCACGAAAGCGUGGGGAUCAAACAGGAUUAGAUACCCGAGUAGUC
This 460-nucleotide ribosomal RNA is filed under the name uncultured bacterium. RNAcentral describes it as "partial 16S ribosomal RNA". It matches the Rfam family "Bacterial small subunit ribosomal RNA", at positions 338 to 795 of the family's 1533-position model. The record is from RNAcentral.